Molecule: non-coding RNA, 28 nt
Filed under: Mus musculus (house mouse)
Lineage: Eukaryota; Metazoa; Chordata; Mammalia; Rodentia; Muridae
Source: RNAcentral
UGAGACCAAGUCCUCACCAGUGCCCCGC